UUUAUGGAGAGUUUGAUCCUGGCUCAGGAUGAACGCUGGCGGCGUGCCUAAUACAUGCAAGUCGAGCGAACGGAUGAGAAGCUUGCUUCUCUGAUGUUAGCGGCGGACGGGUGAGUAACACGUGGAUAACCUACCUAUAAGACUGGGAUAACUUCGGGAAACCGGAGCUAAUACCGGAUAAUAUUUUGAACCGCAUGGUUCAAAAGUGAAAGACGGUCUUGCUGUCACUUAUAGAUGGAUCCGCGCUGCAUUAGCUAGUUGGUAAGGUAACGGCUU
This 276-nucleotide ribosomal RNA is filed under the name Staphylococcus aureus. RNAcentral's name for it is "partial 16S ribosomal RNA". It matches the Rfam family "Bacterial small subunit ribosomal RNA", at positions 1 to 266 of the family's 1533-position model. Lineage: Bacteria; Bacillati; Bacillota; Bacilli; Caryophanales; Staphylococcaceae. The record is from RNAcentral.